UAAAUACUCCCUCCGUCUCAAAAAAUUUGUCUUAGCUUUGUUUAAAAAUGAAUGUAUCUAAAUACUAAAACUUGACUAGAUACAUUCACAUCUAGACAAAUCUAAGACAAGAAUUUUGGGGCGAAGGGAGUAUAAC
This is a non-coding RNA of Hordeum vulgare subsp. vulgare (domesticated barley), 136 nucleotides long. The record is from Rfam. Lineage: Eukaryota; Viridiplantae; Streptophyta; Magnoliopsida; Poales; Poaceae.